Molecule: long non-coding RNA, 1066 nt
Organism: Protopterus annectens (West African lungfish)
Lineage: Eukaryota; Metazoa; Chordata; Ceratodontiformes; Protopteridae
Exons: 4
Source: RefSeq, a predicted model, not a curated record
UGUUGUACUAUUUGAUGAAGUCUUUAUGUUAAGACAAAAGUCCUUAUCUCGUAAAUAAAAGUUUGUAGCAGCACUGGAGUUGUUCACAGCAUUCUGUUCUUUGUAUUUUUUAGCAGUUUGUUGGUGGAGUUGGAUUUUAACAUACUUCAAUGAACAGUGGUUUGAUAUGAAAGUAGCAGAGUCCUGGCAUUAUUUCAACUGACAUGCUGAAUCCAGAGGCAUUCGGAAAGGUGGUGGAGGUGUCAGUAAAUAGAAGCAGUAGGCUACUUUCCCUUGCCAAGCUUUUGAAUCAAAGGUUUACCAUUUUUUUGGAGUGCAGUUUGAUGAAUGGUGAGCCAAAAGACAGUGCUUGUUUGCGUAGUUUGCUAAUGGGAGUGUGUGGCUGAUCAGAUUGACCCUGUUCAUUCAUGACGAAUGCUGACAACGAAAAUCAUACAGUGCAUUUUACAUCAAUCAAAGAUUGACUGCAUCGAAAAUAAAGAGAUGUUCAUUUUGGAUCGAAAGAUUCUAUUUAUGAAUCGUGCUGCAGUGUGGACAUAUAAUCAGCUUGUGGUACACAGGACAGAAGAUGUGUUUAAAUCCCUAUUCCUGCCUCUAAUGAAAUUGCAUACUAUUCAUUUUGAGAUUUAAAAUGUUGAGAAGUAAACAGAUGCGUCUGUGUGUAUGUGGAGCACAGUUAGAAAAGAAAAGAAAAACAAUCAAGGGACAAAAGUCAUAAUGUACCUAGAAGAUGGAAAUCCAGUUUGUUUUUCUAUCUACUACACUAACUUGUUUACCAGUGUUUUUGAAAUUUGAAAGGUUUUCAUGUUGGUGCUCAUUUACUAAGAUGUGCUUUGGCUGUCAUGUAUUGCAAAUGAUAAUGAAGCAAAGUUAAAAUCUUUUAUUGCAACUAUUAUUGUUACAAUCUUAGAUAUCUGAAGAGACAGUUAACACAAAGAGGCUGUAAUGGUGGCUGUACACAUGAAAGUGCUAAAGAUAUGAUAACAAGUGUGGUGUGUAUUUGUGAAAAGCACAUCGUGAUACUUUACUGUAGCUGCAUGUGUGUGAAACAAUUGCAAUAACUUCA